RNAcentral lists this ribosomal RNA (421 nucleotides) under uncultured bacterium. Its description in RNAcentral is "bacterial SSU rRNA". It matches the Rfam family "Bacterial small subunit ribosomal RNA", at positions 355 to 774 of the family's 1533-position model. The record is from RNAcentral.
CAAGGAAUAUUGGUCAAUGGACGCAAGUCUGAACCAGCCAUGCCGCGUGAAGGAUGAAGGUCCUCUGGAUUGUAAACUUCUUUUAUCUGGGACGAAAACGGGAUUUUUAUCUCAAUUGACGGUACCAGAGGAAUAAGCACCGGCUAACUCCGUGCCAGCAGCCGCGGUAAUACGGAGGGUGCGAGCGUUAUCCGGAUUUACUGGGUUUAAAGGGUGCGUAGGUGGGCUUAUAAGUCAGUGGUGAAAUCUCCGAGCUUAACUUGGAAACUGCCGUUGAUACUAUAGGUCUUGAAUUAUCUGGAGGUAAGCGGAAUAUGUCAUGUAGCGGUGAAAUGCUUAGAUAUGACAUAGAACACCAAUUGCGAAGGCAGCUUACUACAUAUAAAUUGACGCUGAGGCACGAAAGCGUGGGGAUCAAACA